UACGUAGGGGGCAAGCGUUGUCCGGACUCAUUGGGCGUAAAGAGCGUGUAGGCGGCCAGGUAGGUCGGUUGUGAAAACUGGAGGCUCAACCUUCAGAGGUCGACCGAAACCAUCUGGCUAGAGUCCGGGAGAGGAGAGUGGAAUUCCUGGUGUAGCGGUGAAAUGCGCAGAUAUCAGGAAGAACACCCGUGGCGAAGGCAGCAAACUGGUCAUCAACUGACGCUGAGGCGCGAAAGCGUGGGUAGCAAACAGG
This 253-nucleotide ribosomal RNA is filed under the name uncultured bacterium. Its description in RNAcentral is "partial 16S ribosomal RNA". It matches the Rfam family "Bacterial small subunit ribosomal RNA", at positions 524 to 776 of the family's 1533-position model. The record is from RNAcentral.